AUGAGACCUCCUAUAUUUGAGGGUAUCCACUAUAAGAGGUGGCGCGUGAGAGCAGUCUUAUGGUUUCAGACCAUGAGCUGCUAUGACGCCACUCUUGGCAAACCUGAAGGGGAGCAAGAUGCCCAACAGGCACAAGCUUUUCAGAAAAUGGAUACCUUGUUUAAGGCUGCUCUCUUGAGUGUUCUUGGUGAGAACAUUGUUGAUGCUUAUGUGUCAAUUGAUAAUGGAAAAGUUAUGUGGGACGCACUCGAGGCCAAGUUUGGGGUCUCGGAUGACGGCACUGAGCUGUACAUCAUGGAGCAAUUCUAUGAUUACAGGAUGACUGAAGAGCGCUCCGUGGUUGAGCAGGCUCAUGAGAUACAGUCAUUUGCUAGAGAACUUGAGCACUUCAAUUGCAUGCUACCGGACAAGUUUGUUGUCGGGGGUAUCAUCACUAAGCUUCCUCCUUCAUGGAGGAACUUUGCUACCUUACUGAAACAUAAGAGACAUGAGUUUUCCGUUCCAGAUCUCAUUGGUACUCUUGAUGUGGAAGAAAAGGCGAGAGCAAAGGACACACGUGCUCGAGGUAUUGAGGGAGGAUCUAGUGCCAGUGUGGUACAUAAGCAGAACUUCCAGCCCCACAAGUUCAAGAACAAGGGCAAGUUUGAUGGUAAAGCAAAGUUUGAUGGGAAGAACAAGGCUGUGCAACACAUGAACUUCAAGAAGAAGAAUGGCAAGCAGAAAGGUGCUUGUCAUGUGUGUGGAGAUCUUGAUCAUUGGGCUCCUAGUUGCCCUAAUCGCUAUGACAAGCGUCAUCCUGGGAAAGGCGGCAAGACCGCUAAUGUUGUCAUUGGAGACACUGACAUGAAGGAUGUUGGACCGCAGGGACUUCAACCGUGCUGA
RNAcentral lists this ribosomal RNA (882 nucleotides) under Triticum aestivum (bread wheat). Its description in RNAcentral is "partial small subunit ribosomal RNA". Lineage: Eukaryota; Viridiplantae; Streptophyta; Magnoliopsida; Poales; Poaceae. The record is from RNAcentral.